GCGGCAAUGGCUGAGUGGUUUAAAGCGGUGGACUUGAAAUCCAUUGAUGGUAAUACAUCCGCGAGUUCGAAUCUUGCUUGCCGCG
RNAcentral lists this transfer RNA (85 nucleotides) under Faecalibacterium prausnitzii. RNAcentral describes it as "tRNA-Ser". It matches the Rfam family "tRNA". Rfam says of the family: Transfer RNA (tRNA) molecules are approximately 80 nucleotides in length. Their secondary structure includes four short double-helical elements and three loops (D, anti-codon, and T loops). The record is from RNAcentral. RNAcentral also lists the same sequence under 3 other names. Lineage: Bacteria; Bacillati; Bacillota; Clostridia; Eubacteriales; Oscillospiraceae.